Molecule: ribosomal RNA, 161 nt
Filed under: Oxera balansae
Lineage: Eukaryota; Viridiplantae; Streptophyta; Magnoliopsida; Lamiales; Lamiaceae
Also listed under: 3 other names
Description: 5.8S ribosomal RNA
Rfam family: 5.8S ribosomal RNA
About the family: 5.8S ribosomal RNA (5.8S rRNA) is a component of the large subunit of the eukaryotic ribosome. It is transcribed by RNA polymerase I as part of the 45S precursor that also contains 18S and 28S rRNA.
Source: RNAcentral
CCAAAAUGACUCUCGGCAACGGAUAUCUCGGCUCUCGCAUCGAUGAAGAACGUAGCGAAAUGCGAUACUUGGUGUGAAUUGCAGAAUCCCGUGAACCAUCGAGUCUUUGAACGCAAGUUGCGCCCGAAGCCAUCAGGCCGAGGGCACGCCUGCCUGGGCGU